Molecule: non-coding RNA, 450 nt
Organism: Hyla sarda
Lineage: Eukaryota; Metazoa; Chordata; Amphibia; Anura; Hylidae
Source: the annotation of a RefSeq genome assembly
AUGAGAAAUCUCCUGUGGUUACUCUUUGUUAUAACAGCUCUACAAUGUGUCACUUCACAGAUCUCUAUGGUGGAGUCUGGUCCUGGGAUUGUGAGACCAUCAGAGACUCUGGACAUGACCUGUAAAGUGACUGGAGCCUCCCUGACUGAUAGCGCUACCAUGUAUGCUGUAGUCUGGAUCCGCCAAACAAAUCAAGCAGGUUUAGAAUGGUUGGGAAGACUAGAUUAUGAUGAGUACAAAGCAUACAAUCCAUCGGUUCAAGGUCGAUUGACACUGUCAAGAGACACAAAUAAAGGAGAAGUUUAUUUCAAACUCACUGGAGUGAAACCUGAAGAAUCUGGGAAAUAUUAUUGUGCUAGAAUGAAACACAGUGUAACAGAUGAACUGAGGACAUGUACAGUAACUAAUGCAUCCCUAGUAUCUGAAAGUGAAUAUUCACCCUUUUUGUAA